UACGUAGGGUGCGAGCGUUCAUCGGAAUUACUGGGCGUAAAGCGGGCGCAGGCGGUUGUGCAAGACAGGUGUGAAAUCCCCAGGCUCAACCUGGGAACUGCAUUUGUGACUGCACGGCUGGAGUGCGGCAGAGGGGGAUGGAAUUCCGCGUGUAGCAGUGAAAUGCGUAGAUAUGCGGAGGAACACCGAUGGCGAAGGCAAUCCCCUGGGCCUGCACUGACGCUCAUGCACGAAAGCGUGGGGAGCAAACAGG
Molecule: ribosomal RNA, 253 nt
Filed under: uncultured bacterium
Lineage: Bacteria
Description: partial 16S ribosomal RNA
Rfam family: Bacterial small subunit ribosomal RNA
Source: RNAcentral